GACGAACGCUGGCGGCGUGCUUAACACAUGCAAGUCGAACGGAAAGGCCUGCUUUCCCUUGUGGAUUGCGGGUACUCGAGUGGCGAACGGGUGAGUAACACGUGCGUGAUCUGCCCCCAACUUGGGUAUAAGCCUGGGAAACCGGGUCUAAUUCCCGAUAGGACUGCAGGGUGGUGCGUGAGGUGGUACACGAUUUUCUAGUGGUUGGGGAUGAGCUCUCGGCCUAUCAGCUAGGUGGUGGGGUAAUGGCCUACCGAGGCUGCGUCGGGUAGCCGGCCUGGGGUGGCGGACGGCCGCAGUUGGACGGCGACACUGCCCCUGCGCCUACGGCCGGCAGCCGUGGGGAGUCAUGCGCGAUGGGCGGUGGCCUGAGGCCGCGACGCUGCGUGAGGGAUGACGGGCGCCGGGUUGUGACCUCCUGGCGGCCGCGAGGAUGCCGCCUGGUUGGAGGGGUAGUGACGGUAGUGGUAGAAGAAGCGCCGGCUAACUACGUG
RNAcentral lists this ribosomal RNA (494 nucleotides) under uncultured bacterium. RNAcentral describes it as "partial 16S ribosomal RNA". It matches the Rfam family "Bacterial small subunit ribosomal RNA", at positions 28 to 507 of the family's 1533-position model. The record is from RNAcentral.